GAAAAACUUAAUUACUCAACUGAAGAUGCUACUCACUUGUUUUCUUUGGUUUCAAAUUGCCUCCUUUCUAUCAAGUUGGCUACGCUCUGAGGGGAGAGAAAACAAGAAAUGCACAGAGUUCUAUUGAAGUAGCUCAGGGUAUACACAUGGCUCUGCAGAUAGUGAGGAUCCAAUAGAUGCCACUGAUGGAUUUAAUCUAUAAUAAAGUUAAAGCUCGAGGAAAGGGGCUUAGAACUAAAGAAGAAAGGGUGUUUCUUUUGCAAAACGAGACGGAAUAUUCUGGCACAGCGAGACCCAAAUCUGGAAAGGAAUGAAGAAAGCAAAAGGCAUGCCAACACAGAUUAGCUUUAGCUCUUAGUCACAGAUGGUGGUUGUUCGGUUUCCAAGUGUGGAGCCAGGACCAGAAAGGAACGGUGCUGAGAGAAUUCUCUCAUAACUCCACAAUUUGACGAUGGUACAGCUGAUCAUAGGAGAGCCACAAACUGCUGACUCACUUAAAUGCUUCAGCUCCUGCAUCUGUCAGGCUGCCUGACUGAAAGGAAAUAACCACCAGUAAGGAUACUGAUGACAUACAUUCCUCCACCGCUGUCGCCAGACUUUCCAACAAACUCUAGCUAUUAAAAAAAAAAAAAAAAAAGGGAGCACGUGUCAUCCGAAUGGCAAGUCCAGUGAUUCUGUUUCCAACAGAGCAAAUCUGUCCAAGAGUAUGGAGCAGGUAGCCCUAUCAGAUGACGGUAGAGAAACUGUCUGAGCUGGCUAGAUAGAGAAUGAGGCUACAGAAGAAUGAUAAUAGGUGUCAGUGGCAGAAAUAAAUCAUAAAUACAACAGAAAAAAAGAAAAAAGAAAAAAACAGACUUACU
Camelus dromedarius (Arabian camel) is the source of this 860-nucleotide long non-coding RNA. RefSeq lists it as uncharacterized. The record is from RefSeq and is a predicted model, not a curated record. NCBI's taxonomy places the organism in Eukaryota, Metazoa, Chordata, Mammalia, Artiodactyla, Camelidae. The transcript has 4 exons.